GAGGCAAACAGGUGGCAGAUUUGGUUUCUCUCGGAUGCGUUAGGAAAAAGGGAAAGGUAAGAAAGAAAAUCCAAACUGGCCGACCGUUGCUAGCCCCUCCCCUUAAAUUGUCAGCAGUUUGAACGGAGGUUAGGGUUGAUAAGUUCAUUUAGUUCUGGUGCUUCCCUUCGAUUGUUUGUUCACUUUCUGAGUUAAUUUCACAUUCCAUGUGAUGCAGUUUCAUUAGUUCUACGCCGUUGAAAGUGAUCAUCAUUCAAGCAAAGAGUCAGAAUUCCAAGGCAGUUCCGAUGGCUUAAAAUGUUCAACUGGAAGCGAACGUGUCUCGUCCGGAGUCAUUGGAACUCAAAAAUAUAAUAAAUCCAGGAAGAGACUGUUAAUGCGAUUCAACUUCAUGAUGAAUCACAGCAGCAAGAUGUGCGUCUAAAUUCCCCUGCAAAACGUGUGACUAGCCAUAUCCUUUUUGAAACAAGUUUGAUUCCUGAACUUGUUCUGUGUCUUUCUCGACGAACUGAAUAGAACUCUGUUUUCCUACUUCAACACCUUUUGGAAGUUUCGUGGUGAGUACGUUGAACGGGCAGAUGAACAGCCUUCACCAAAGUCUGGUGCUCGUUAAAAGACUGGCAGACACGCUUGGGACGACGACUUUAGCGAUAAUCAUCGAAGAUGUUCUGGAAAGAGACUCGUGAAAGACUUUCGGAGAUGUGGAAAGAUUAAUCUGAAGAAAAACUGGCGACAAGUUUGGUGGAGCUUUCAACGAGAUUUGCUCAAUCCAGAGAAAUAUUCGUGAAUAUUUUGACCAACCAACUCCACACGAUAAAUAGCUUUAGACCGGGAUUUCACAAUCAACGUUCAUCGAUUCUUCUUCUAAUUAAAAUGAAUAUUACGAAAUUCGUUAUUUAGCAGUUGACGACAAUUGGGUUUCAUUUGGCGUUCGAAAUACUUUACGCCUGCUAUUAUCUGAAUCACGUGAAAGGGAAUUUAAAAUAGAAAGAAAUACAAAGAUAAGUUAAUUCAAAUAACGCUGGUCAAUUUAGAAGUCUGAGCAAGUGGGUAAAACGUAAUUGUAUUCUUUGUUUGUUUUUUGCUUAAUUCUAUUUAGACAAAACCAGAAGAGAAAUUUUCUUCGUUAUUAGCGGCAGAUUGAUUGGGCUGGAUUACUCAGCUAGAAUCGUCUUUGGCUGAUUAAAUUCAUGGUUUGAGCCACUAAAUAGGAGAGCUCCCAUCCCAUGGAAUUCUCUAUUGCAACGGUAUCCAGUCUCAUUUUAACCUUCGCAUUAGGGCCAGUGGCGUUAUUCAACGAUGCUAUACCCACUUCGGUUCCCUGAUGACAAAGGCCUUUGCAGUUGCAGACCAAGACGUUGCAUCAUCCAACCCCGCAGUACGGAAUUCCAGCUGUUCCAUCCAGACAACAGCAAUCGGUUUGCUUGUAGCAACAAUCGGCAUCCACCAGUCCACACGUCAUCGCAAGAAUAGCGAAAACAACAGAGAUGCCGCACGUAAGUGUUGUCUUUGACAAGUUUCAGUCUGUGAGAUCAUAAGUUGAACAAUCAAUCAACAUUUAACAAAAUAAUUUAAUUUCUAACUAUUGGUUUCUAAAAUUCUGAUCUGAAUUUAAUGCCACUUGUUUUACGUACGUUCUAAGUCUAUUAGCUGAACAUCUACCUUAAUAAUUAUUGUAUUGAAGCCUUUUUGUGAGACCAUUCUAGGUCACUUCAUGAACAGGGAAGUCAAAUGAACCUUUUUACAUUGCAACUCUUUGUAACUGUGAAUCCAAGGAUCGUAGUGGAUGCGGUAAACUUGCAUAGCCUUCCCGAAGGUUGCCGAUGAUUCUGUCCAUCCAUCAUCUAUUCAUCUUAAACAAAUGGAAAAUUAAGGUGCUGCAAGGACAAAAUGUGAUUAAAUGAUGAAGCAGGCAGAAGCCCAGAUCUUUCUUUCUAUGUUUCCAAACGGACAGCGAAUUUCUCUUUUUUGCAUCGUUAAUCGAACGCGGGACACGUGAAUUACUGUAAGAAAUGGACAAGCUGAAGAAAUUUCCACGCUUGUUGUAGAAAUGGGCAUCCCAUCAACAGCCUCUGUAUCUUCCAGCUGAAACCAAUGAGCAAGUCGAGCUUCUUGUAGCGCCUUUCUCGCCUCCUGCUGAGCCUUCAUCUUCUUUGCCCCUCUGGAAUUUGAUACUCAGCUGUUCCGCCGAAACCAUGGACGCCUGGAAACGAUGUCAAUGGAGUUGUUCUUCAGGGACGUUACAAG
Molecule: unclassified non-coding RNA, 2247 nt
Filed under: Daphnia magna
Lineage: Eukaryota; Metazoa; Arthropoda; Branchiopoda; Diplostraca; Daphniidae
Description: speckle-type POZ protein-like, transcript variant X3
Source: RNAcentral